CCUGGCUCAGGAUGAACGCUGGCGGCGUGCCUAACACAUGCAAGUCGAACGAAGCACUUCUGAUCGGAGAUUCGUCGAAGAUUAGAUUUGACUUAGUGGCGGACGGGUGAGUAAUGUAUGAGCAACCUGCCUUUCAGAGGGGGACAACAGUUGGAAACGACUGCUAAUACCGCAUAAUGUAUUGAGACGGCAUCGUCAUGAUACCAAAGGAGCAAUCCGCUGAAAGAUGGGCUCAUAUCUGAUUAGUUAGUUGGCAGGGUAACGGCCUACCAAGACUGCGAUCAGUAGCCGGACUGAGAGGUUGAACGGCCACAUUGGGACUGAGAUACGGCCCAGACUCCUACGGGAGGCAGCAGUGGGGAAUAUUGGGCAAUGGGCGAAAGCCUCGACCCAGCAACGCCGCGUGAAGGAAGAAGGUCUUCGGAUUGUAAACUUCUUUUAUGAGGGACGAAGGACGUGACGGUACCUCAUGAAUAAGCCACGGCUAACUACGUGCCAGCCGCCGC
RNAcentral lists this ribosomal RNA (506 nucleotides) under uncultured bacterium. RNAcentral's name for it is "bacterial SSU rRNA". It matches the Rfam family "Bacterial small subunit ribosomal RNA", at positions 18 to 518 of the family's 1533-position model. The record is from RNAcentral.